GUGGGGAAUCUUCCGCAAUGGACGAAAGUCUGACGGAGCAACGCCACGUGAGUGAUGAAGGUCUUCGGAUUGUAAAGCUCUGUUAAUCGGGACGAAAGAGCCUAGUGUGAAUAAUGCUAGGAAGUGACGGUACCGGAAUAGAAAGCCACGGCUAACUACGUGCCAGCAGCCGCGGUAAUACGUAGGUGGCAAGCGUUGUCCGGAAUUAUUGGGCGUAAAGCGCGCGCAGGCGGAUCGUCCAGUCUGUCUUAAAAGUUCGGGGCUUAACCCCGUGAUGGGAUGGAAACUACAGAUCUAGAGUAUCGGAGAGGAAAGUGGAAUUCCUAGUGUAGCGGUGAAAUGCGUAGAUAUUAGGAAGAACACCAGUGGCGAAGGCGACUUUCUGGACGAAAACUGACGCUGAGGCGCGAAAGCCAGGGGAGCGAACGGGAUUAGAAACCCCAGUAGUCC
Molecule: ribosomal RNA, 450 nt
Filed under: uncultured bacterium
Lineage: Bacteria
Description: partial 16S ribosomal RNA
Rfam family: Bacterial small subunit ribosomal RNA
Source: RNAcentral